RNAcentral lists this small nuclear RNA (283 nucleotides) under Mus pahari (shrew mouse). Its description in RNAcentral is "sRNA (MGP_PahariEiJ_G0008206.1)". It matches the Rfam family "7SK RNA". Rfam says of the family: 7SK was discovered as an abundant small nuclear RNA in the mid-70s but a possible function has only recently been suggested. The record is from RNAcentral. Lineage: Eukaryota; Metazoa; Chordata; Mammalia; Rodentia; Muridae.
AGAUGCAAGAUCAGUAUGUCUGUGACAUCUAUAACUCCACUGGUAGCAAGAGUUGAUUCUGCUAAUUUGUCAAGCUAUGUGAAUGUGCCAUUCCUUCCUUAAAUGAUUAUGUGAGUUGGCCCAAAGCUUUGUGUUCUGGACAGGGGAGGGUUCAUCUUUGGUUGAGUAUAUGAUAGUUGCAUUCUCCAGCUAGAACGUACAUAAAAGCAUUUAAUUUAUUCCUAGCUAAUUAGUUGAUACACACACACACACACACACACACACAUACACACACUUGUGUUGU